UACAGAGGGGCGAGCGUUGUUCGGAAUUACUGGGCGUAAAGGGCGCGUAGGCGGCCAACUAAGUCAGACGUGAAAUCCCUCGGCUCAACCGGGGAACUGCGUCUGAUACUGGAUGGCUUGAAUUCGGGAGAGGGAUGCGGAAUUCCAGGUGUAGCGGUGAAAUGCGUAGAUAUCUGGAGGAACACCGGUGGCGAAGGCGGCGACCUGGUCCGAUACUGACGCUGAGGCGCGAAAGCGUGGGGAGCAAACAGG
This 252-nucleotide ribosomal RNA is filed under the name uncultured bacterium. Its description in RNAcentral is "partial 16S ribosomal RNA". It matches the Rfam family "Bacterial small subunit ribosomal RNA", at positions 524 to 776 of the family's 1533-position model. The record is from RNAcentral.